ACGAACGCUGGCGGCGUGCUUAACACAUGCAAGUCGAACGGAAAGGCCUCUUUCGGGGGGUACUCGAGUGGCGAACGGGUGAGUAACACGUGAGUAACCUGCCCUUGACUUUGGGAUAACUUCAGGAAACUGGGGCUAAUACCGGAAAGGAGCUCCUGCUGCAGGGGGGGGGUUGGAAAGUUUCGGCGGUUGGGGAUGGACUCGCGGCUUAUCAGCUUGUUGGUGGGGUAGUGGCUUACCAAGGCUUUGACGGGUAGCCGGCCUGAGAGGGUGACCGGCCACAUUGGGACUGAGAUACGGCCCAGACUCCUACGGGAGGCAGCAGUGGGGAAUAUUGCACAAUGGGUGGAAGCCUGAUGCAGCAACGCCGUGUGCGGGAGGACGGCCUUCGGGUUGUAAACCGCUUUCGCUCAUGACGAAGCUUUGUGUGACGGUAGUGGGUAAAGAAGCACCGGCUAACUACGUG
This 466-nucleotide ribosomal RNA is filed under the name uncultured bacterium. RNAcentral's name for it is "partial 16S ribosomal RNA". It matches the Rfam family "Bacterial small subunit ribosomal RNA", at positions 29 to 507 of the family's 1533-position model. The record is from RNAcentral.